Molecule: non-coding RNA, 77 nt
Filed under: uncultured Prevotella sp.
Lineage: Bacteria; Pseudomonadati; Bacteroidota; Bacteroidia; Bacteroidales; Prevotellaceae
Description: TPP riboswitch (THI element)
Rfam family: TPP riboswitch aptamer (THI element)
About the family: Vitamin B(1) in its active form thiamin pyrophosphate (TPP) is an essential coenzyme that is synthesised by coupling of pyrimidine and thiazole moieties in bacteria. The previously detected thiamin-regulatory element, thi box was extended, resulting in a new, highly conserved RNA secondary structure, the THI element, which is widely distributed in eubacteria and also occurs in some archaea. Analysis of operon structures identified a large number of new candidate thiamin-regulated genes, mostly transporters, in various prokaryotic organisms.
Source: RNAcentral
UUAAGGGGUGCUGCGAUAUUUCGCGGCUGAGAUCAAACCCUAUGACCUGAUCCGGGUAAUGCCGGCGUAGGAAGGCA